UGUCUGAAUGGGGAAACCCGGCCCGCAAGGGUCACUCCAGGCUGAAUAUAUAGGCCUGGUAGAGCGAACCUGCCGAACUGAAACAUCUAAGUAGGCAGAGGAAAAGAAAUCAACCGAGAUUCCGAAAGUAGUGGCGAGCGAAAUCGGAACAGCCUGCAACUUUUAGCAGUUUAUCUAGCGGAACGGUCUGGAAAGUCCGGCCAUAGUGGGUGAUAGCCCCGUAUGCGAAAGAUAGAUUGUGGAACUAAGGUUGCGACAAGUAGGGCGGGACACGUGAAAUCCUGUCUGAAUAUGGGGGGACCAUCCUCCAAGGCUAAAUACUCGUGAUCGACCGAUAGUGAACCAGUACCGUGAGGGAAAGGCGAAAAGAACCCCGGGAGGGGAGUGAAAUAGAUCCUGAAACCGCAUGCAUACAAACAGUGGGAGCCUCGCAAGGGGUGACCGCGUACCUUUUGUAUAAUGGGUCAGCGACUUACAUUCAGUGGCAAGCUUAACCUUUUUAGGGAAAGCGUAGCGAAAGCGAGUCUUAAUAGGGCGAUCAGUCGCUGGGUGUAGACCCGAAACCAAGUGAUCUACUCGUGGCCAGGAUGAAGGUAGGGUAACACCUGCUGGAGGUCCGAACCCACUACCGUUGAAAAGGUAGGGGAUGAGCUGUGGGUAGGGGUGAAAGGCUAAACAAACUUGGAGAUAGCUGGUUCUCUCCGAAAGCUAUUUAUGUAGCGCCUCGUGAUAUACCUUCGGGGGUAGAGCACUGUUAUGACUAGGGGGCCGUAUAGGUCUACCAAAUCAUUGCAAACUCCGAAUACCGAAGAGUAGUUUCACGGGAGACAGACAUCGGGUGCUAACGUCCGGUGUCAAGAGGGAAAGAACCCAGACCGCCGUCUAAGGUCCCAAAGACAUAGUUAAGUGGUGAACGAAGUGGGAAGGCAUAAACAGCCAGGAGGUUGGCUUAGAAGCAGCCACCCUUUAAAGAAAGCGUAAUAGCUCACUGGUCGAGUCGUCCUGCGCGGAAGAUGUAACGGGGCUCAAACUAUGCACCGAAGAUGCGGAUUCAUACGCAAGUAUGAGUGGUAGGAGAGCGUUCUGUAGGCCUGCGAAGGUGACUCGUAAGGGUUGCUGGAGGUAUCAGAAGUGCGAAUGCUGACAUGAGUAGCGAUAAAGCGGGUGAAAGGCCCGCUCGCCGAAAGCCCAAGGUUUCCUGCACCACGUUCAUCGGUGCAGGGUGAGUCGGCCCCUAAGGCAAGGCCGAAAAGCGUAGUCGAUGGGAAAUCGGUUAAUAUUCCGAUACCUCGUUUUGAUGCGAUGGGGAGACGGAGAAGGUUAUGUCAGCCGGGUGUUGGAUGUCCCGGUUCAAGCGUGUAGGUGUGAUCCUUUAGGCAAGUCCGGCUACGGUCAACACCGAGGCGUGAUGACGAGUGACCUUGUGGCAUGAAGUUGCAGAUACCACGCUUCCAGGAAAAUCCUCUAAGCUUCAGUCAUAUAUGGACCGUACCGCAAACCGACACUGGUGGACAAGAUGAAAAUUCUAAGGCGCUUGAGAGAACUCGGGUGAAGGAACUCGGCAAAUUUGCACCUUAACUUCGAAGAAGGUGCGCCCCCGAUGAUGUGAAACCCUCGCGGGCGAAGCAAAAGGGGUGCAGUGAAAAUGGUGGCUGCGACUGUUUAAUAAAAACACAGCACCUGCAAACACUCAAGUGGACGUAUAGGGUGUGACGCCUGCCCGUGCGAAGUUAAGUGAUGGGGUGCAAGCUCUUGAUUGAAGUCCCGGUAAACGGCGCCGUAACUAUAACGUCUAGUAGCGAAAUUCCUUGUCGGGUAAGUUCGACCCGCACGAGUGGGGGAACGAUGGCCACACUGUCUCCUCCCGAGACUCAGCGAAGUUGAAGUGUUUGUGAUGAUGCAAUCUACCCGCGGCUAGACGGAAAGACCCCGUGCACCUUUACUGUAGCUUUACAUUGGACUUUGAUGAGAUCUGUGUAGGAUAGGUGGGAGACUUUGAAGCGGGUGCGCUAGUCACUCGUGGAGUCAACGUUGAAAUACCACCCUGAUGUUAUCGAGGUUCUAACCUAUGCCCCGUGAUCCGGGGCGGGGACCGUGUAUGGCAGGCAGUUUGACUGGGGCGGUCUCCUCCCAAAGAGUAACGGAGGAGCUCGAAGGUACGCUUAGCGCGGUCGGCUAUAGCGCUGUAUGUGCAAUGGCAUAAGCGUGCUUAACUGCGAGACUGACAAGUCGAGCAGGUGCGAAAGCAGGACAUAGUGAUCCGGUGGUUCUGUAUGGAAGGGCCAUCGCUCAACGGAUAAAAGGUACGCCGGGGAUAACAGGCUGAUUCCUCCCAAGAGUUCAUAUCGACGGGGGAGUUUGGCACCUCGAUGUCGGCUCAUCACAUCCUGGGGCUGUAGCCGGUCCCAAGGGUAUGGCUGUUCGCCAUUUAAAGUGGUACGUGAGCUGGGUUCAAAACGUCGUGAGACAGUUUGGUCCCUAUCUGCCGUGGGCGUUGGAAGUUUGAGGGGGGCUGCUCCUAGUACGAGAGGACUGGAGUGGACGCACCUCUGGUGUACCGGUUGUCACGCCAGUGGCAUUGCCGGGUAGCUAUGUGCGGAAGAGAUAACCGCUGAAAGCAUCUAAGCA
This 2628-nucleotide ribosomal RNA is filed under the name uncultured beta proteobacterium. Its description in RNAcentral is "partial 23S ribosomal RNA". It matches the Rfam family "Bacterial large subunit ribosomal RNA". The record is from RNAcentral. Lineage: Bacteria; Pseudomonadati; Pseudomonadota; Betaproteobacteria.